Tripterygium wilfordii is the source of this 1878-nucleotide RNA transcript. It is a transcript of the gene named heat shock factor protein HSF30, with no coding region annotated. The record is from RefSeq and is a predicted model, not a curated record. NCBI's taxonomy places the organism in Eukaryota, Viridiplantae, Streptophyta, Magnoliopsida, Celastrales, Celastraceae. The transcript has 3 exons.
GAAAAAGCUGACACAACCAUCUCUCUCUCUCUAGAACUUUCAACUUUCCAAUCCUCUCCUUUAAGUAAGUUGUAAUCUCCUCAUAAUAUCUCAAAUUAUCUGACACCUGCAUUUCGCCUUGCACAGUCAAGACUUGAACUUUGAAGCUCGAAUUAUCUGUGUAACGGAUUGAAUGAUAUUCAAGUCCAUAUCGAGAAACUCUGUUAAUAAGCAUUCUCGAUAGCUCUGCAUUGUAAAGAUUGCGACUUCAUGAAGACAUGGAGGAAGUGGUGGUGAAAGAAGAGGAGACUGUGAUGUUUUCUGCUGCGGCUGCAUCAUCUUCGUCAUCGUCUUCAAGCUUUCCACCGCAGCCGAUGGAGGGGCUUCACGAUGCGGGUCCGCCUCCAUUUCUGACGAAGACCUUUGAAAUGGUGGAGGACCCAUCAACGGACUCUGUUGUUUGUUGGAGCAAAUCUCGUAACAGCUUCGUUGUGUGUGACUCUCACAAGUUCUCGACGACUCUGCUUCCUAGGUAUUUCAAGCACAGUAACUUCUCCAGCUUUAUUCGUCAGCUCAACACAUAUGGUUUUCGAAAAGUUGAUCCAGAUAGGUGGGAAUUUGCAAAUGAAGGCUUUUUGGGAGGACAAAAACACUUGUUGAAGACCAUCAAGAGGAGAAGGCAUGUCGCACAUUGUAUGCAGCAACAAGGAGGGGGGUCUUGUGUUGAGUUGGGACAGUAUGGGAUAGAGAGUGAGCUGGACAGGCUAAAGAGAGAUAGGAGCUUGUUAAUGUCAGAGAUUGUGAAGCUGAAGCAGCAAGAGCAGAAUUCAAGGGACCAACUAGCAGCAAUGGAAGAGAGGUUAGGAAGUAUGGAGAAGAAACAACAGCAGAUGACGACCUUCCUUGCUAAAGCACUUAAUAAUCCUGCUUUCAUUCAGCAAUUUAUACAAAUGAAUGCACGGAGGAGGGAACUGCAUGGUGUUGGAAUUGGGCGUAAGAGAAGACUCACUGCCAGCCCGAGUGCAGAGAAUUUGCAGGAAGAAGCUGUUUCUGUUGCUGUGGAACAUGUUGUGGGUUUAGUCGCAGAUAUGGAGACGUUCUUCUCAGCUGUCAUCGACAACGAAUCAACAGGUAAUGUUAAGUAUACGACUGGGAGUUCUGUACCAGCAACAAGCAGUGGCAAUUUUGGUACAGUCAAUGAGACAACCUGGGGGGAACUAUUGCGUGAAGAUAUUCCCGUUGAAAAUCAUGAGGAAGAAGUCGUCGUGAUCAGUGAUGAACCAGAAUUGGAUGUGGAAGUGGAAGAUUUAGUUGCAGAACCUAUAGAUUGGGGUGAGGACUUGCAUGACCUUCUUGAUCAAAUGGGUUUUCUUGGGUCAAAUCCAUAGCCAUAAGUUCGAUGAAAAGCUUAGCUAGUGGUUUUGUGGUGUAACGAGUUGGUCUCUGCAACCCCAUAUCUUGACACUUGAUUUUACGCAGCAGGGAAUGGUGGAAGUUGCUGAGGACCAACAAAACUCAUAUUCUUCUGUGUUUUGCAGGUUGACUUGGAAAGGAGAUUUGUAGAAGCGGAUUCCUACCAUCGCCGAAGACUGUAAACCUCUCUUCUUUGCAACUUUUAUAUGCAUCAAGCACUUGCUCUAUGUACAAUAUUGUUCUUGUAUCUUGUAUGUCUACCAUUUUCUCUUAUGAGAGAUACUUGUUGUAAUAUUAUCUAUGGGUCUGUUCCAAUUGUUCCUUAUAUUGUAUGGCUGUGGGAAAGACGUUCACAGCUUCCCGCUGGAAGUCUUUUCAGCACAGGUCUGGAUAGUUUUGCGUCAGAUGCUCAUACUGGCUGGUCCAAAGAAAUGUAUUUAGUUUUGAACUUGAAUUGCAUAUUGAUUAACUUGCCAGAGUACUUAA